Molecule: ribosomal RNA, 253 nt
Filed under: uncultured bacterium
Lineage: Bacteria
Description: partial 16S ribosomal RNA
Rfam family: Bacterial small subunit ribosomal RNA
Source: RNAcentral
UACGUAGGGGGCAAGCGUUGUCCGGAUUUAUUGGGCGUAAAGAGCGUGUAGGCGGCUUGGUAGGUCCGCUGUGAAAACUCGAGGCUCAACCUCGAGAUGUCGGCGGAAACCACUUGGCUAGAGUCCGGAAGAGGAGAGUGGAAUUCCUGGUGUAGCGGUGAAAUGCGCAGAUAUCAGGAGGAACACCCAUAGCGAAGGCAGCUUGCUGGGACGUUACUGACGCUAAGGCGCGAAAGCGUGGGGAGCGAACAGG